This 451-nucleotide ribosomal RNA is filed under the name uncultured bacterium. Its description in RNAcentral is "partial 16S ribosomal RNA". It matches the Rfam family "Bacterial small subunit ribosomal RNA", at positions 354 to 796 of the family's 1533-position model. The record is from RNAcentral.
GUGGGGAAUAUUGGACAAUGGGGGGAACCCUGAUCCAGCCAUGCCGCGUGUGUGAAGAAGGCCUUUUGGUUGUAAAGCACUUUAAGCGAGGAGGAGGCUACCGAGAUUAAUACUCUUGGAUAGUGGACGUUACUCGCAGAAUAAGCACCGGCUAACUCUGUGCCAGCAGCCGCGGUAAUACAGAGGGUGCAAGCGUUAAUCGGAUUUACUGGGCGUAAAGCGUGUGUAGGCGGCUUUUUAAGUCGGAUGUGAAAUCCCUGAGCUUAACUUAGGAAUUGCAUUCGAUACUGGGAAGCUAGAGUAUGGGAGAGGAUGGUAGAAUUCCAGGUGUAGCGGUGAAAUGCGUAGAGAUCUGGAGGAAUACCGAUGGCGAAGGCAGCCAUCUGGCCUAAUACUGACGCUGAGGUACGAAAGCAUGGGGAGCAAACAGGAUUAGAUACCCGGGUAGUCC